Molecule: long non-coding RNA, 1086 nt
Organism: Helianthus annuus (common sunflower)
Lineage: Eukaryota; Viridiplantae; Streptophyta; Magnoliopsida; Asterales; Asteraceae
Exons: 3
Source: RefSeq, a predicted model, not a curated record
UCGCAAUUUCAUUGCUCAUGUAAUUAGAGUAUCCACGCAUCCCAUUUGCUUCUCUCCCAACUCACCAUAGCAGAUUACAUCCAGACCAGGUUACCGGCCACCGGGCUACCGACCUUCUUCCAUCUUCGUCUCCGCAUAUUUGCUUCAAUUUCAAACCAGGUUAACUUAUGUGCCAGUGUAGGGUAUGAUUUAAUUGGAUUUUGGUCGGCUUCUUUUCAUCGAUGUUCUCAUGUACAUGUGCCGAUUUUCUGCUGAUUAAUUGAUUGAAUCGGCUGUGACCCGGUUUAGGGUUCUUACAAAUGCGGACUGAAAAGAUACCCUCUUUAGAGCUGGGAUCACCAAGAAGCAGAAUCGAAGUUCAUGUGGAAUAGCACAAGAUAUUUUACUAAAAAACCUAACACAAAAGAUGUAUCAGUCAACAUCAGCAAGUUAAUAGCAAGAUGGCAUGUGUUGGCAGGUAUUAUAGUGUUAAUGCCAUUAUCAAUGAAGCAACAAAACCCACUGAGGUAACUUUCUUCAGUGAAGGCAUGGUAGUCCUCUGCCCUCCUCAAGACAAGCUGCGAAGACUUUAUAACAAAGCACGGUUGCACCAAUCCUAAAACGCUCCCACAACAAAUGGCGUCAAUGAUAGGCGAGGUAAGGCCGAUGCACGUCUCGACAAGGAAGGAAGGGCAUGUGGUAGUAACAAACGUGACAAAAGCUGAGACAGUAAGCGAAUACUAUCCAACCUCUCAAGAACAUAGCGUCUUGGCAAUCCCUCCCACAACACCUAACCCGAAAAUCAACCAGAAAAAAACGUCUGCCAGUUGGGUCACCAGAGUCAAGCCGCGUUGCAAAGAAGGCACAUGAAGAAGAAUGAUCGCUUAGAAGACUGCUUUUUUGGAUGGCUGCACCCUGGAACACUGUGUAGCCCGCAUCACCUACAUCCAUAAUCUUACAAAAACGCACAUAGGAAACACCUUAUGUGCAAGUUAUCUACCUAACACACUUGGUGUUAGUAAGAUAAGUUGUAAACAAAUCAAUACAAAAACAUUUUGUAGGUAGACUAGGCGAGGUAAAUAAAACAAAAAAAGUUCAUUUAACACA